UAAAAGAUAAGCUAAAUAAAGCUGACGGGCCCAUAACCCGCCGAUGGUGUGACCUCUUUUAA
RNAcentral lists this transfer RNA (62 nucleotides) under Stygobromus foliatus. Its description in RNAcentral is "tRNA-Met". The record is from RNAcentral. Lineage: Eukaryota; Metazoa; Arthropoda; Malacostraca; Amphipoda; Crangonyctidae.